RNAcentral lists this ribosomal RNA (253 nucleotides) under uncultured bacterium. RNAcentral describes it as "partial 16S ribosomal RNA". It matches the Rfam family "Bacterial small subunit ribosomal RNA", at positions 524 to 776 of the family's 1533-position model. The record is from RNAcentral.
UACGGAGGGUGCAAGCGUUAUCCGGAUUCACUGGGUUUAAAGGGUGCGUAGGGGGUUUGGUAAGUCAGGGUGGAAAUCUCCGGGCUUAACUCGGAAACUGCCGUUGAUACUAUCAAUCUUGAAUAUUGUGGAGGUAAGCGGAAUAUGUCAUGUAGCGGUGAAAUGCUUAGAUAUGACAUAGAACACCGAUAGCGAAGGCAGCUUGCUACACAAUUAUUGACACUGAGGCACGAAAGCGUGGGGAUCAAACAGG